This 301-nucleotide ribosomal RNA is filed under the name uncultured bacterium. RNAcentral's name for it is "partial 16S ribosomal RNA". It matches the Rfam family "Bacterial small subunit ribosomal RNA", at positions 509 to 807 of the family's 1533-position model. The record is from RNAcentral.
CAGCAGCCGCGGGAAAACAGAGGGUGCGAGCGUUAAUCGGAUUUACUGGGCGUAAAGCGUGCGUAGGCGGCUUUUUAAGUCGGAUGUGAAAUCCCUGAGCUUAACUUAGGAAUUGCAUUCGAUACUGGGAAGCUAGAGUAUGGGAGAGGAUGGUAGAAUUCCAGGUGUAGCGGUGAAAUGCGUAGAGAUCUGGAGGAAUACCGAUGGCGAAGGCAGCCAUCUGGCCUAAUACUGACGCUGAGGUACGAAAGCAUGGGGAGCAAACAGGAUUAGAUACCCGUGUAGUCCCUGUCUCUUAUAC